Podarcis lilfordi (Lilford's wall lizard) is the source of this 149-nucleotide non-coding RNA. The record is from the annotation of a GenBank genome assembly. NCBI's taxonomy places the organism in Eukaryota, Metazoa, Chordata, Lepidosauria, Squamata, Lacertidae.
UGGUGUGGGGAGCCUGUCUCCCUCCAGAUAUUGCUGGACUACAAAUCCCAUCACCCCUGGCUUUUGGGUCGGGUGUCCUGGGGCUGAUGGGGGUUAAGAGUCCAGCAUAUCUGGAGGGAGACAGGCUCCCCACACCUGGGCUAGAUAAC